CUUAGGCUAAUUGAUUAAACUUUCUGUGCUUCAGUUUCGUCAUCAGAAACACAGGGGUAAUAAUGGGCUUAAUUAUGGGGUUGUUGUGAAGAUUAAUGGAAUCAAUAUAAGCACAGUGCUUGGAAUGGUGCCUAGAACAUGCAGGUGACGUGAAAGGAAGAGAGAGGUCAACAUUAGAACCACCACAGCCCUACUCACGGUAGGCACAAGAUGGAAACAACCCAUGUGUCCAUCCACAGACGACUGGAAAAACAAAGUGUAGUGUAUUCAUGAAGUGGACUAUUAUUCUGCCAUAAAAAAGGAACGGAAUUUGGACACACAUUACAACGCUUCUUUAGUCCACUUAACAACAUCUAUAAUAAAAUAAAUUUCCUCUUCUGAGAAGAAGGCACUCUAUCACGAGAUACUUUGGUGGAGAAUUUUCGCUCACUGGGACCUCAUGAGAAAGUUGUAAGAAGCCCCCAGCAGAGACAGGAGUAGCAGACUCAAAUUCUACAGAAGUUAUGCAGAGCGUGAGGCAGCUCUGGAGGGAGAUGCGUUGUAAGCGAAUAUUAUACCUGCGUAAUUAUGCUGCCGUACAAAGCACUGUAUAUGCCAAAUAAAGUCA
This is a long non-coding RNA of Zalophus californianus (California sea lion), 607 nucleotides long. RefSeq lists it as uncharacterized. The transcript has 4 exons. The record is from RefSeq and is a predicted model, not a curated record. NCBI's taxonomy places the organism in Eukaryota, Metazoa, Chordata, Mammalia, Carnivora, Otariidae.